RNAcentral lists this ribosomal RNA (253 nucleotides) under uncultured bacterium. Its description in RNAcentral is "partial 16S ribosomal RNA". It matches the Rfam family "Bacterial small subunit ribosomal RNA", at positions 524 to 776 of the family's 1533-position model. The record is from RNAcentral.
UACGUAGGGGGCUAGCGUUGUCCGGAUUUAUUGGGCGUAAAGAGCGUGUAGGCGGCCAGGUAGGUCUGCUGUGAAAACUCGAGGCUCAACCUCGAGAUGUCGGCGGAAACCAUCUGGCUAGAGUCCGGAAGAGGAAAGUGGAAUUCCUGGUGUAGCGGUGAAAUGCGUAGAUAUGCGGAGGAACACCGAUGGCGAAGGCAAUCCCCUGGGCCUGCACUGACGCUCAUGCACGAAAGCGUGGGGAGCAAACAGG